GUGUGUGGUGGAAAGUUUUUUCGGUGUAGGAUGAGCCCGCGGCCUAUCAGCUUGUUGGUGGGGUAAUGGCCUACCAAGGCGGCGACGGGUGGCCGGACUGAGAGGUCGGUCGGCCACAUUGGGACUGAGAUACGGCCCAGACUCCUACGGGAGGCAGCAGUGGGGAAUAUUGCACAAUGGGCGCAAGCCUGAUGCAGCGACGCCGCGUGGGGGAUGACGGCCUUCGGGUUGUAAACUCCUUUCGCCAGGGACGAAGCGUUUUGUGACGGUACCUGGAGAAGAAGCACCGGCUAACUACGUGCCAGCAGCCGCGGUAAUACGUAGGGUGCAAGCGUUGUCCGGAAUUACUGGGCGUAAAGAGUCUCGUAGGUGGUUUGUCACGUCGUCUGUGAAAUUCCACAGCUUAACCGUGGGCGUGCAGGCGAUACGGGCUGACUUGAGUACUGUAGGGGUAACUGGAAUUCCUGGUGUAGCGGUGAAAUGCGCAGAUAUCAGGAGGAACACCGAUGGCGAAGGCAGGUUACUGGGCAGUUACUGACGCUGAGGAGCGAAA
RNAcentral lists this ribosomal RNA (553 nucleotides) under uncultured Actinomycetales bacterium. Its description in RNAcentral is "bacterial SSU rRNA". It matches the Rfam family "Bacterial small subunit ribosomal RNA", at positions 192 to 758 of the family's 1533-position model. The record is from RNAcentral. Lineage: Bacteria; Bacillati; Actinomycetota; Actinomycetes; Actinomycetales.